ACUCCUACGGGAGGCAGCAGUAGGGAAUUUUUCACAAUGGACGAAAGUCUGAUGAAGCAAUACCGCGUGAGGGAAGACGGUUUUAGGACUGUAAACCUCUGUUAUAAGGGAAGAAUAUGUCGGAGAGGAAAUGCUCCGUGCAGUGACGGUACUUUAUUAGAAAGUCACGGCUAACUAUGUGCCAGCAGCCGCGGUAAUACAUAGGUGGCAAGCGUUAUCCGGAUUUAUUGGGCGUAAAGAGUGCACAGGUGGUUAUAUAAGUUUGAUGUUAAAGACCGAAGCUCAACUUCGGUUCGCAUUGAAAACUGUAUAACUAGAAUGCAGGUGGGAAUAGUGGAAUUCGAUGUGUAGCGGUGGAAUGCAUAAAUAUAUCGAGGAACACCAGUGGCGAAGGCGGCUAUUUGAACUGUAAUUGACACUUAAGCACGAAAGCGUGGGGAGCAAAUAGGAUUAGAUACCCUAGUAGUCCACGCCGUAAACGAUCUAGAUUAGAUGUCGGAAUUAUUCGGUAUCGCAGCUAACGCAUUAAAUCUAGCGCCUGGGUAGUACGCACGCAAGUGUAAAACUCAAAGGAAUUGACGGGGACCCGCACAAGUGGUGGAGCAUGUGGUUUAAUUCGAUGAUACGCGAAAAACCUUACCUACGCUUGACAUACUUGGCAAAACUAUAGAGAUAUAGUCGAGGUUAACCAAUGUACAGGUGGUGCAUGGUUGUCGUCAGCUCGUGUCGUGAGAUGUUUGGUUAAGUCCAGCAACGAGCGCAACCCCUAUCCUAUGUUACCAGCAUUAAGUUGGGGACUCAUGGGAGACUGCUAGGGUAACCUAGAGGAAGGUGGGGAUGACGUCAAAUCAUCAUGCCCCUUAUGCGUAGGGCUACACACGUGCUACAAUGGUACAUACAAAGUGCUGCAAACCCCGUGAGGGUAAGCGAAUCACAAAAAAAAAUGUAUUCUCA
RNAcentral lists this ribosomal RNA (954 nucleotides) under uncultured Mollicutes bacterium. Its description in RNAcentral is "bacterial SSU rRNA". It matches the Rfam family "Bacterial small subunit ribosomal RNA", at positions 335 to 1290 of the family's 1533-position model. Lineage: Bacteria; Bacillati; Mycoplasmatota; Mollicutes. The record is from RNAcentral.